UAUGAAAUGGCAGAAUAUGCCUAAACUUUAAGCGUUUAUCAUGACCUAGGUCUUUCAUAU
RNAcentral lists this transfer RNA (60 nucleotides) under Hermissenda emurai. RNAcentral describes it as "tRNA-Leu". The record is from RNAcentral. Lineage: Eukaryota; Metazoa; Mollusca; Gastropoda; Nudibranchia; Glaucidae.